GCCAUUAUGUAGAGUUUAUUUUUCUGAAAAUAUUAAUGCAUCAUACAUUUAUAUCCUAUAGUUUCUAAGUAAUAGCAGUUUUAAAUUAUACUAAUCCGGGUGAAAAUCCAUGUAACGCGGUUAAGUUACUCCCUAGAUAACAUUGAUUUUCACAUGCAUGGAUUUGUAGAAUUUAAAACGGUUGUUAUUUAGAAACUUUCAAAAAAAAAUAAUAAGUU
Non-coding RNA from Cinara cedri, 218 nucleotides. Lineage: Eukaryota; Metazoa; Arthropoda; Insecta; Hemiptera; Aphididae. The record is from the annotation of a GenBank genome assembly.